This 92-nucleotide transfer RNA is filed under the name Pseudomonas sp. NCCP-436. RNAcentral describes it as "tRNA-Asp". Lineage: Bacteria; Pseudomonadati; Pseudomonadota; Gammaproteobacteria; Pseudomonadales; Pseudomonadaceae. The record is from RNAcentral.
GCGCCGCGGUGGUGCGGUGCACCUGCUCGGCCUGCUGUCGCCGGGCGGGGUGCACAGCCACACCGAGCAGAUCAUCGCCGCUUGCCGGGUGC